AGGACGAACGCUGGCGGCGUGCUUAACACAUGCAAGUCGAACGGAAAGGCCCUUCGGGGUACUCGAGUGGCGAACGGGUGAGUAACACGUGGGUGAUCUGCCCUGCACUUCGGGAUAAGCCUGGGAAACUGGGUCUAAUACCGGAUAUACCUCAUGGGAUGCAUGUUUUGUGGGGGAAAGCUUUUGCGGUGUGGGAUGGGCCCGCGGCCUAUCAGCUUGUUGGUGGGGUGAUGGCCUACCAAGGCGUCGACGGGUAGCCGGCCUGAGAGGGUGUCCGGCCACACUGGGACUGAGAUACGGCCCAGACUCCUACGGGAGGCAGCAGUGGGGAAUAUUGCACAAUGGGCGCAAGCCUGAUGCAGCGACGCCGCGUGGGGGAUGACGGCCUUCGGGUUGUAACCUCUUUCAGUAGGGACGAAGCGCAAGUGACGGUACCUACAGAAGAAGCACCGGCCAACUACGUGCCAGCAGCCGCGGUAAC
Molecule: ribosomal RNA, 481 nt
Filed under: uncultured bacterium
Lineage: Bacteria
Description: SSU rRNA
Rfam family: Bacterial small subunit ribosomal RNA
Source: RNAcentral